GCACGUCUUUGGGAUGUGGGAGGAAACCGGAGCGCCAGGAGGAAUCCCGCACAGUCACAGGGAAAACGUGCAAACUCCACACAGACAGUUUGAAAUGUCAUGACCAAAUAUGCAAAUUGGAAUCUAAUGUUUUUCAAAGUAUUUGUGAUCUAUUGACCUUUUGCUUACCAAAAUUAUUGACUAAAUUGUAACCAAUUCAUAUUUGUGACUGUCAGUAUUUUCUUUUGCUGACCACUAUUACAUAGGAAAUGUGGUUCAGUGAAUUAUUUUUAUUGUUAAACAAUUGCUUCAGAGAGACUGCACAUACUUCACCUUCCUGGUGAUGCUUGAUUUCCAUCGCUGUACUUUUAUUAUCAGCAGUUGUGGAAUGUUAGAGAUAAAAUAUGAAGAGAUUUCUGAAGUUGGUGAAUGGAAUGAUGUAGCUACACUGUCCUCUAAACCAGAAAAGGUGGAUUUCUGCAUACAAAUGUACAUGUUUAACGCCCAGUUCCAACUGUGUGUGUACAGCAAUGUAUUCUGUCUUUUUAAAAAAACAGCCUCCUUUAACUGUUUGAAGCAUUAUCAUAGAAUGGUAACAAAUAAGAGGCAUUUAGCAGGAGGCAAAUCUUGUUCAAGCAAGUAUCCUAUUGAAAGGAGAGGGUAUGGACAUAUUUGCAAAGUGAUUUUCAGUGCAGUGCUGUGGCAGAUGUACAAUUUGGCUGUGCAUGCAAUACGCUGGGAAUGUUUGAUAUUUGUGUGUCUAAAUAAUUUUUAAUUAAAAUCACUGUUUGGGCAAAUCUUAGUACACAUUGCUUAUUUUCGAAUGAGCCUGACUUCUACUUUUACAAGAUGUAACAUAUAAAUUGUAAAUAAGAAGAAAUCUUGCAGUAUUUUGGAAUUGAAUGAUGAAAGUUGUAUUGUAGAAUGGAUGGAACAGAUAAGUGGAAUUAAUAAAUACAUUUAAAUACAUAA
Amblyraja radiata (thorny skate) is the source of this 951-nucleotide long non-coding RNA. RefSeq lists it as uncharacterized. The record is from RefSeq and is a predicted model, not a curated record. NCBI's taxonomy places the organism in Eukaryota, Metazoa, Chordata, Chondrichthyes, Rajiformes, Rajidae. The transcript is spliced from 2 exons.